This 5772-nucleotide long non-coding RNA is filed under the name Mytilus galloprovincialis (Mediterranean mussel). Lineage: Eukaryota; Metazoa; Mollusca; Bivalvia; Mytilida; Mytilidae. The record is from RNAcentral.
CUGAUGUAACCGUUAUUAUUUGACCUUGCAUUUGUAGCGUUUGAUGAGCGUGUCAGAUGCGGUAUUUUUGGUUCAUACAUGGAUGCUUACCACAAAUAUUAAGAAUGGGAGAGUGAAUAAUGUAUUUCUGGGAAUUUAGAAAUGGGAAAAAAGAAUAGUAAAUUAAAACCAGAAGAAGUCAGCGAUUUAAAAAAGAAAACAUAUUGUGAGUACUAUAUCUGAUUAUUAAAUUAUAAACUAAUUCAUUAAAUGUAUUUAUAAUUUGUGUACACAAUGUUUAGCUCUAAAAUAAUUCAGUGAUAUCGCUUCUCACUACAACGGAUAUUAAUAGCAUUGAAUACAUAACUAUAAAUAUACAGUUUGUGUAUUCAGUUAUAUUUUUACACUGCAUGUGCAUACAUCAGGGGGCAUUUCAAACCAACCCUCAAGUGCCUCUCUAUAAUUCAAGUGAUUAUAUGCAAACACAAUGAUCUUUUUCAAGUUUGAAUACAUAGCUUUUUAUCGUUUCAAAUUUAUUCUAGUAAAUUGCAUUUGUCUUUACAAGGGUGAUAUCGAUUUAUUGAGUGCCUUGAUAUCACCAAGGGAGCCUUCCACAUUAAGCAAUCAAUAUUAUGUUUAUGAUAACCACAACAUAAAGUUGCAGUAGCGUGCUCCAUUAUGAUUUAUAACAUCUUAUCCACAUAUUCUAUUAUUUAAUUAUCACAUUGUUAGAUAGAUAAAUAUUUCAAUGAUGAACGGAUUCUACCAGAAUUUUAUAUCCAAUUACCCAAUUUCAUUAGAAUCAGAUAAUUUCAGAUUAUUAUUUUGCUUAUUAGCCUUUAUAUAGUUUUGUUUUAAGCCGGUAUAGUAGAGAGAUAUGUUUUGUAGUAAUUUGAAUGCUUCAUUCGAAAAUUUCUGUGAUUCCAAAUAAUUAAUCGUUUGUGUUGACUUUGGAAGAGUUUUCUCUCUUUGUGAAAGGGAUGCCGAUAAUGCCGAUUAUUUAUGAUGAAUGUUUUAUAUUUACCAUGUUUACAUUUUUUGGCAAUAAUCAAAAAAUGUCAAAAAUUAUUUUGCAUCACAUACGGAAAUUGGUAAUUUUUCUUUUGCGCCUAUUUUACAUUUCGCAAUCACUCCGUAGUAUUCUCGUUUUGCAAACCUCAUUCCAACAUCAAAAAACAAGGGCAUAACUUGUCUAGUGGGACGAAAACCAUUAAAAAACGUUAAAGGGAGGCGAAAUUAUUACCAGAAUUUGUAGCAUUAACAGAUUAUCGGUUUUAUUUUUGGGUGUAUAUAUAUCGUAAAAUGUCAGUCGCUCGAUACAUUGUGACUUCCGGCUGAUAUUUCACGAUACCAAUGUGCAGAAAGCAUUGUAGUAGCAUAUAUUUUGUCGCUUGUUUUCGCUCCAUAUGGAAUUUACUGACCCCUUAAAUAUCGUAUUAUAGGACUGAAACUUAACUAAUAUUGUUUUCAGCGUGUUACCAGUUAAGUCUUUCUGACUUCUAAAAAGACUUCACGUGCUAUGUUUAGACAUGUUAACUUACCUUUUUUAACAUAUCCUCUUGCACAUUCCAUUCUCUCUCUCCAAGUUCGACUUUCUAUGGAAAUUUUUAGUGUAAUCGUACGUUUAAAUCAUAACAUUCAUUUAAGUGUGAAUUAUCUGAUUUAUAAACAAAAAUUCCAAAUAUAUUUUACAUAAUAGCAAUAAAUUCAAUUCAAUUCAAUAUUUAUUGGAAAAAGAACAAUAGAGGCGUGAUCCAAAUACAGACAGUAAUAAUAUUAAAAAACAUAUAAAUAAAAUAUAGAUGCAUGUAUAUUCUAUGAUUACCAUUUCAUUCUAUAGGUAUAUGAUAUGAAUUAUAAUUUAACAAUAGGACAUGUAGGAGUAUAGUAAAAUAUUGAAACUAUCGAAUUUAUCUUCCAUGCGAGCUUUUUAUUCUUUAUUAUCAAAUAGUUCUUUUUAUUUGUCGUUGUGUGGCUGUCUCAUUGACGUGCAUACCCACAUGCAUUGUUCAUGUAACUUUGUCAUAUCCUCGACACUAUAACAUGUAUAAACAAUACUAAAAGUUGUUCAUUUUGGUAGCAGUUUAUGAACGGUGACAAGAUUUUAACAACUUUCAUAUCUACACCGUCCGUGUUAUGUUUGUGUUGUUUUCUUUCUUAAUAUUAACAAGUACUUCGUCUAACAUAGUUUGAACGGUUUAACACUAGUCAUUUUUAUAUCCUUAACCCCCCCUUUUUUUCCCCAAAAAAAAUCCACCUCUGACAUGUACCUUUAUAGAGGACUCGAUGUUUCACAUGUGCAAAUAUGUAAGUAACUACCCUUAUUAUUAUAUCUUGGUCAAUAAUUAAGAUAAGGAGAUACAAACAAAAUACAGGUAAUAAGCAUUCUACAGACACCUGGUAAUGAUGAGAGUUUGGCAUGCAUUACACAUAAUUAUCCCUACACAAUGUGGUAUACAUUAUUAUACUGCAACAACGCAUUAUGUUAAAUGUAUUUAAUUCUAACCUUUAUAUACCAUACACAAUCUUCUCAGAUGCAUUUCAUUAAUACGUUACUAUGUCUUUAUUGUUGCAUUGCGCCAUUCAUUUCGGACAUCUAAUUUUUACAUAAUUAGCUCAUAGAUGACGUGUAAUUUUCAGCUCAUGGAUGAAAAAUUUCAAUGUUUUACCCGUACUUCUUUUUCCGGUCACUUUCAAUACACGAAUCAUAAUUAACUUCCGAUGCCUCGCGAAGAGUAUCAUGCGCUCUGCAUGUUAAGAACCCUUGUAACAAUUCUUUUAGGGCUCCGUAGAUGGCCUGUCAAGUUCAUGGAAAAUUUUCUGUCCCUUUCCGUUAUAACCUCAUUUUCCAGUGGUAGUCUUAAUUACCGUGCCUCUAUUACUAGACCUACUUGUUGUAUGUAUCGUUAAUUUAUUCUCGUCCUGAAUGUGCAUUAAAUAUUUGCCAUUGGACCUUUUAAAAGCACCCAGUAACCAAUAAAUCAAUAUCUGUAUUCAUUAUGUUUUACUUUAUGGAAGUUCCUUCCACGGACUUUUAUUUGCAGUCUUCGUUUGGCAGUAUUACCAUAGUCAGCACGCUAACAUAAACCAUUGCUUAAAUUGGUUAGAGAGUAUUGUCCACUCUCGGACAGUAACUUUUGCUCAUUGAUUCGUUUGCAGAGAGAAAGGUUAAGGGUUUUCAGUGGCGGAUCCAGAACUUUUUGUAAGGGGGGCCCGCUGACUGACCUAAAGAGAGGGCCGCUCCAGUCACACUUCAGUGAUUCCCUAUAUAAUCAACCAAAUUUUUCCCACGAAAGGGGGGCCCGGGCCCCCCAGGCCCCCCAGGCCCCCCCGGAUCCGCCAAUGGUUUUUCUUAUUUAUUAUUAUUGCGCAUUAUAAACAAUUAAAAAAAGUCGUUUGAAAAAAGAUCUUGUGCAUACAUAGAUUCAAAUGAAAAUAUAAAACUGAAAUACUGUUGGACAGAUGAGCCUCCCACACCUUAAUUACACCAAUUAACAAUCUGGCAUCAAUUAUCUGUAAGAGAUGGGUCAGAUGAAUAAAACUAUUUCGGUAACAUACAUUUUAGAAAAAAUAUUUAAGCUGGCAAUAAACUAACCUUUUCAAUUUCAACUGAUUGGGCGUGUAUGCAUGGUUUUAAAACAGCUAGAUUUUAUCCAUCGGAUCACCAGUGAUGGUGAUAUAAAGCUGAAAACAUUCUAUAUUUAUAAUUCGUCUAAAUAUCAGCGUAUAACAAUGUCAGAUCUGUAAAUUUGCAAUAGCAGUUUGUUUGUUCCUCCCUGGCCGGGAUUCGAACUCAUGCUACUGAUAUAUCGAGGCACAAAAUCGCCUGGCACUAUGCCCGACGCACCAGACCACUCGACAGACACGACUAGCAAUAAUAAUAGUUACCACGUAAAUUUUAAGCGCCUGCUAUGAAAGAUUCAUUCAAAUUAGUGCCAUUGUAGUAGGUAUUUCUGUCUUUCAAAAUAUAGAAGUGUGAAAGAAUAAAUAAAAAGUAUGUUUUGGUGUGAUUGUAAAUGUGUAAUCGAAAGAUAUAUAUAUAUAUAUAUAGAUAUAUAACUGUCCUAUAGGGCCUUCAAUUUAUUCUCCCUUCCGAAAAGUAUGUUACGUUACCGGUAUUCUUUUCUUAUCGGUAGUCAAUAUAUCAAUAAAUAUGCUCUUUUUCAAGUAUUUAUAAGCCAAAAUGUUGAAUAUUAUACUUUGUUAUACUAUGAGGCAUUGGAGAGUACAUUCUGAACGGAGCUUUGAAAAUGCCAUAAAAGUGCAGAUAGCUUUUUUGUACUGUCAAUGACAUUAAAAUUGCAGGCUUCACCGCCCACGUUUUAGUUGUCUUGAUUUUCCAAGAUUACGUUCUACGGACCUUUUGUUGUGCUUAAUUCCGUGUCUUAAAUAACUUCAUGUAGGAAUAGAUCGUACAUCAAAAGAUUUAAAAUCAAUGUUCGCGUCUUUGAUUUCACAAUUACAUGACGGUGCAAUAUUUGAAACCAUGACUUAUAAUUUUGCCAAGAAUUUCAAACAGAAAUGAAAGACACAAUCACGUAGCAGUUAAUUGGAUCUUGGAAAACUUCCACAAUAUUAUUGGUGAAAACAACACUAAACGAAUUACGUAUAGUUAGGCACAUAAAAACAAUACGUGAAUUAAUACAGUUUGUAGUUUGUUACAAAGCAAAGGUAUUCAAAAGCAGGUAGUUACAAAUUAAAUGGCUGUGAAUAUCCAUGUAAAAUUCUCUGAGAUUAUGUUUUAGGCAACAUCAAAAACAGAUCGCUGUAUGAUUAAAAAAACACAAAAAUUCUAUCAGAAAUUGCUUACCAAUAGAGUAUAUUAUUAUCAGAUUUCAUUGUGAAGAUAAUGAUAAAUCUUCCUUGAAAAUGAAAUUGGGGUUACCCGCCUAAUAUUUGAUAGUCUACAAAGCAAGGCAGCCAUUUUGAACAAUAUCAUGAGCAUAAAGUACAUAUAUCUGCACUAUAUCCACGGUAUACUUUUAACAUAUAACCUUUUCUUUUUCAGUCUCAGAAGAGGAAAUUCAACAAUGGUACGUUUAUAUAUAAUAUGUUUCCAUGGUAGUGAUUGAAGUGUAGUCGAAGGGCUUUCUACCCAUUCAAUCCAUUGAACAAUUAAUUGAAUUAUUAAUUGUAUGAUCAAUAAUGGAUCAGAUAUCCAUUGUACAAUAGCAUUUAGUCAUAAUAAACAAAUCCCAAGGGCUGCCCUAUUUCUAUACCCAAGUCAACCAAACAUGGAAAAAACAAAAAGAUUGCUUAAAAGACAAUCAUUCAACAGAAGCACCCCUAAAAAUCAACCAUGUAAAACAAAUACGCCUUCAACAAUGAACACAUUUGACAAAAUAAAUAUAACUCUUAUAUUUGUUCUUCAGUAACAAUUCAUAGCGAGGUCUUCAAAGUUUAGUAAAUUAUCACAUCUUUCUGUAAUAUCACCAGCUAUAGCGGAAAUGGAUUACACUAUGUUCAUCUGUAGACCAACAAUUAUAGACACACAAUUGAACAAUACUGGUAUAAUUUACAUAACGAACCCUGUAACAUAGAACUUGUAUGAAUAUAUCAUAAUUUGAUGCUAUAGAAUAAAAGUGAUGCUGUCUUUUCAAAUCACGAACACAUGAAACAAAAAAGGGAAAGUGAAAAAUGUUUCAAAAUAAGUAAUUAUAAAUGUUCUUGAUGAUCGGUAAAUGAUACCAUUUUUUUUUAUCAGGUACAAAGGUUUCAUGAAGGAUUGUCCUGACGGCAAACUGACAUUAGAUGCAAGUAUAUUAUACGGUUUAGAACAAAUGAGUAGGAUAC